RNAcentral lists this long non-coding RNA (948 nucleotides) under Bos indicus x Bos taurus (hybrid cattle). Its description in RNAcentral is "lncRNA (ENSBIXG00005002792.1)". Lineage: Eukaryota; Metazoa; Chordata; Mammalia; Artiodactyla; Bovidae. The record is from RNAcentral.
CAAGCUUUCAGGCAUGCUAAAGAGGAGAACACACACAAAAUGUCCGAAAUGUCCUGAGAGCCUUAGACUUUAGACUCAAGCAUUUCCAGGAAAAUGCCCAAGUGCCUCGUGGAUCGGACAGGCAGAUCUGAGUGUAUUUAUUUUGAUAAACCUAAUCCCAGAGAAAUCUGAGCUGAAUUUAAAUUCUCAGUCCCUCAGUAGGGAGAGAUAUGCAGCCUGAAGAUAAACAUGGAAGACAGAACACCCGUGUGGGAGGCUUCCCUGGGUUGGAGGAUAUUAACUCAGGGAAAUCGCGAGCCCUUAUUUGGAUAAACAGUUCCUGCAGGGCAGAAAUGACACGUCUCCCCAUAACUCCUGGCUCACAGUGUACGGUGCUCACCAGACCUGCUCGAUCAGUGCAUUUGCAAGAGUGGAGAGCAGAGACAUGAGGUGAAAUGGGGAGUCCUGACAAAAGCAAUUGACAAAGGCACGGUUUAUAAUAAAUGAGAAUCUUGGAAUUCUACUGCCAAAUUAUGCAGACCUUUCCAGAAAGAAAUAAUGUAGACAGCUGAAGAGGUUCAUCUCCAAGAGAGAAUACAUAACCAUCAUGAGGAGCAUUCCAAUGGCUCUUUCUCAGCUUUCUGGGACCGAGAGGCACCUGUGGAAGUGGCAGGAGAAGCUUUAUAGAGCUGAUUCCAGCUUCCUCAUCUCUGGAUCACUACUCUGUGGUGUGCUCUCUGGCUCAGCGUUUCUAAGUGGGAUCAGAAUUCCUGUGGGGAAAAAAAUCAAUGAAAAUAUUCAUAGUACAGAUGCCAUUCUUUCUGUCGGAACUGCAACCAUGGAAGUGAAAAAGUCUGUAUCAUGUGGGAAGUGACAAUAAUCAUGUUACCCAGAGGUGACUAUUAUAGAAGAGCCAUCAAAGGUAUGUUCAAAUUGUCCCAGGUGUAAAUGUAAAACUUUUCACUGUGC